This 839-nucleotide ribosomal RNA is filed under the name uncultured Actinomycetes bacterium. Its description in RNAcentral is "bacterial SSU rRNA". It matches the Rfam family "Bacterial small subunit ribosomal RNA", at positions 61 to 916 of the family's 1533-position model. The record is from RNAcentral. Lineage: Bacteria; Bacillati; Actinomycetota; Actinomycetes.
GUCGAGCGAUGAGAUCACUUCGGUGAAGGAUUAGCGGCGAACGGGUGAGGAACACGUGAAGAAUCUGCCUUCGACUCUGGGAUAACUCCGGGAAACCGGGGCUAAUACCGGAUAUGAGCCUUGGCCGCAUGGCCGGGGCUGGAAAGUUUCUCGGUUGAAGAUGACUUCGCGGCCUAUCACCUUGUUGGUGAGGUAAUGGCUCACCAAGGCGACGACGGGUAGCCGGCCUGAGAGGGCGACCGGCCACGCUGGGACUGAGACACGGCCCAGACUCCUACGGGAGGCAGCAGUGGGGAAUAUUGGGCAAUGGAGGAAACUCUGACCCAGCGACGCCGCGUGCGGGAUGAAGGCCUUCGGGUUUAAACCGCUUUCAGCAGGGAAUAAGCGAAAGUGAAGGUACCUGCAGAAGAAGCACCGGCUAACUAUGUGCCAGCAGCCGCGGUAAUACAUAGGGUGCAAGCGUUGUCCGGAAUUAUUGGGCGUAAAGAGCUCGUAGCUGGUUUGUUACGUCGGAUGUGAAAUGCAGGGGCUCAACCCCUGACUUGCAUCCGAUACGGGCAAGCUAGAGUUUGGUAGGGGAGACUGGAAUUCCUGGUGUAGCGGUGGAAUGCGCAGAUAUCAGGAGGAACACCGAUGGCGAAGGCAGGUCUAUGGGCCAAUACUGACAUUGAGGAGCGAAAGCGUGGGGAGCGAACAGGAUUAGAUACCCUGGUAGUCCACGCCGUAAACGGUGGGCGCUAGUUGUGCGAACCUUCCACGGUUUGUGCGACGCAGAUAACGCAUUAAGCGCCCCGCCUGGGGAGUACGAUCGCAAGAUUAAAAAUCAAAUGAAUUGGCGG